AGGUGGCUAUGAUAAACUCAUUAAGAUUUGGGAUCUUCGUCAUACAUCGCAACCUGUAAUGUACUUCGAGAAAGGUUCGUUUCGUAUAUCUGUGUGCGUAUAAUUAAUUUAUAACCAGACAACUCAAAUUCAUGCGGCUAUUUCUGUGUGGGUAGAGUUUAGCCCUGUUUCUCACAUCUAGAUAACACAGCCUUCCAGAAAGUACGUCACUUGGCGGACACUGCGGAUCCGGGGGAGGGCGGGGCAACCGCCUCCCUCCAAUAAUUUCUGUUUAUAAAAUCUGAAAGCCUUUGAAUAAUAGCUGAAUAAUUGUGUAGCAAAGCUGAAACAAUCAUUUUUAGGCUACAAAUUAAGCUAUAUGUUGCAUGAAAUUUAAGGCAAGAAAAGUUUUAUUACACAACUAAGUCCUGGUUCAGACGUCGAAUUUUGCAUGUGUCCAAUCAAUUCGGCCAACCUCGUUCCCAGGGCCCUUUUUGAAAAUAUUUUCAAAAAAGGCCCUGGGAACAAGGUUGCAAUUCGGUUUGGACGUUGCCUGGAAUGGCGUAAAGCGCAAGACAUACAAGAAUCUCAUUUAUAAGAAUACUAAUUUAUAAGGCUAAAGUAGGCAAAAUUUAAAUAAUUUACUAAGAAUAUACCCAAGAUUAUUCAAAGAACACAGGUCAGGGGAAAGUAUGAAAGUAUAUGCUACUAUGCUGUGAUGAACUAUUGCAAACAACUCGAAAAGUAUCUUUUGGUAUUGUACGUCGUAAGAAUAUUUAAUUUAGGGUUAAAUUUGUCGGGAAAAUAAAAUAUCCAAAGAUUUAUCUUUUUCCAAAGUGGCAACAUGUGACAUUUCAAUAACAUUACAUGAAGUCUUUAAGAUUCGCCUAACCGAUUUAAAUUUGACACAUGCAAAAUGCGAUGUCUGAGACCACUUGGCACCGUACGGAAUAGCGUGUUAAUAGUGGUCUGGGUCGCAUCGUUUAAUUUUCUUAUCAUUAUCAUGAUCUGAUUAAGCAUUUUAUUCCCUUCCAGUGUGGAGUUACCGUCUUACUUGGCCAGUACAUUGGGGGUUAUUGGUCUACAAUACGGACGUGAUAUCUCGAAUAAAGAGCACACGUUGUUUGGAUUAUCAUUUUAGUUCUCCAAGUGAUAAAAACAUCCGCCACACUUCCUCCUGUUAUAUAACCCACAGUGCCACAGGAUGGGUAAGCAUACAUGCAUUACUAUUUGAAAAGGACCUCACCGCCCCCC
This is a non-coding RNA of Paramuricea clavata, 1233 nucleotides long. Lineage: Eukaryota; Metazoa; Cnidaria; Anthozoa; Malacalcyonacea; Plexauridae. The record is from the annotation of a GenBank genome assembly.